CCUGGCGGCCGUAGCGCGGUGGUCCCACCUGACCCCAUGCCGAACUCAGAAGUGAAACGCCGUAGCGCCGAUGGUAGUGUGGGGUCUCCCCAUGCGAGAGUAGGGAACUACCAGGC
Molecule: ribosomal RNA, 116 nt
Filed under: Escherichia coli
Lineage: Bacteria; Pseudomonadati; Pseudomonadota; Gammaproteobacteria; Enterobacterales; Enterobacteriaceae
Also listed under: 3 other names
Source: RNAcentral